UCCGUGGCUCAGAAUGAACGCUGGCGGCGUGCCUAACACAUGCAAGUCGAGCGAGAAGCGUCCCUUCGGGGGGUGAGUAAGCGGCGCGACGGGUGAGUAACGCGUGGGUAACCUGCCCAAGAGUGGGGUAUAACUCGCCGAAAGGCGGGCUAAUCCCGCAUACGUCCAACGGACUCAAGUCCGUUGGGGAAAGAUGGCCUCUGCUUGCAAGCUAUUGCUCUUGGAUGGGCCCGCGUUGGAUUAGCUAGUUGGUGAGGUAAUGGCUCACCAAGGCUUCGAUCCAUAGCUGGUUUGAGAGGACGACCAGCCACACUGGAACUGAGACACGGUCCAGACUCCUACGGGAGGCAGCAGUGAGGAAUAUUGCGCAAUGGGGGAAACCCUGACGCAGCGACGCCGCGUGAGUUGAUGAAGGCCUUCGGGUUGUAAAGCUUCUGUCAGAGGGAAAGAAAGGGUAGGCGGCUAAUACCCGUCUACAUUGACGGUACCCUCAGAGGAAGCACCGGCUAACUCCGUGCCAGCCGCGGC
RNAcentral lists this ribosomal RNA (528 nucleotides) under uncultured bacterium. Its description in RNAcentral is "bacterial SSU rRNA". It matches the Rfam family "Bacterial small subunit ribosomal RNA", at positions 16 to 518 of the family's 1533-position model. The record is from RNAcentral.